ACGUGAAAGCACAUACCGAUAAAUGGUGAAGCUGCGAACGGCUCAUUACAACAGCCAUUGUUUAUUUGAUUUUACUCUACUUGGAUACCUGUGGUAACCUAAGAGCUAAUACACGCAUUCAAGUCCAAACCUUACGGGACGGACGCAUUUAUUAGAACAAAACCAAUCGGGCUUGCCCGCUAUUUGGUGAAUCUGAAUAACUUGGCUGAUCGCACGGUCUUUGCACCGGCGACGUAUCAUUCAAGUGUCUGCCUUAUCAACUUUCGAUGGUAGUUUAUGCGCCUACCAUGGUUGUAACGGGUAACGGAGAAUUAGGGUUCGACUCCGGAGAGGGAGCCUGAGAAACGGCUACCACAUCCAAGGAAGGCAGCAGGCACGCAAAUUACCCACUCCCGGCACGGGGAGGUAGUGACGAAAAAUAACGAGACGGUUCUCUAAGAGGCCCGUCAUCGGAAUGGGUACAAUUUAAAUCCUUUAACGAGGACCAAUUGGAGGGCAAGUCUGGUGCCAGCAGCCGCGGUAAUUCCAGCUCCAAAAGCGUAUAUUAAAGUUGUUGCGGUUAAAAAGCUCGUAGUUGGAUCUGCGCUCUAGGUUUGCGGUCCCCUAAAUGGGAGGUACUGCUUUACCUGGGCUAUUUGCUCUGGUUUUCCCUUUGUGCUCUUCACCGAGUGCUCUGGGUGACUGGAAUUUUUACUUUGAAAAAAUUAGAGUGCUCAAAGCAGGCGUUCAGCCUGAAUAGUGGUGCAUGGAAUAAUGGAAUAGGACUUCGGUUCUAUUUUGUUGGUUUUCGGAGCUCGAAGUAAUGAUUAAGAGGGACAGACGGGGGCAUUCGUAUUGCGACGUUAGAGGUGAAAUUCUUGGAUCGUCGCAAGACGCACUACUGCGAAAGCAUUUGCCAAGAAUGUUUUCAUUAAUCAAGAACGAAAGUUUGAGGUUCGAAGGCGAUCAGAUACCG
Molecule: ribosomal RNA, 955 nt
Filed under: Phanodermopsis sp. BC05-22
Lineage: Eukaryota; Metazoa; Nematoda; Enoplea; Enoplida; Phanodermatidae
Description: bacterial SSU rRNA
Rfam family: Eukaryotic small subunit ribosomal RNA
Source: RNAcentral